UUUCAUUAAAGUAAAUUCACGCAAAUAAUAACUCUCAAGGACAAGAUCACUCCCAGGCAUGAUAACACUAGAAUUCUUACUUUUUUUUUUUUUUUGAGACCGAGUCUAGCUCUGUGACGCAGGCUGGAGUGCAGUGGCGCGAUCUCGGCUCACUACAAGCUCGUGCCCGGCCUAGAAUUCUUACUCUUGACUGUUAUGCUAUCAAGACACUAGUCAAGGCUUGGAAUAAAAAUUCAUGUCUUCAUGGCAUCCGCAUUUUGACAGUAGCUGAAACCAAAGGAAAAUAUAAAGUUGUCCAAAGAAAGCAGUCAAGUUAAAAACAAUGAACUGGACUCACAAAACCAUUUGUCUACUGAGCAUUGAGGGAAAGGCUGAGAACCAAGACAGAGGGCAGGAAGAGGAACCACCAAACUCCGGGACGUUCGAUGGAGGAGACAGAACAAAAUAUUAGAGUUGAUGGGUCAAGAUGACCAGCUGGUAUUGGAAUGGAUCUCCAAUAAAUUAGUUCACCUCAGUGCUCAACUAUGAUUCACCUGGUAAUUUUGGAAAACAAGGAUAUUAUUUUAAUUACCCCACAAAUGGAAGGCCAUAACCACAGAAGUGAGACUAACCAAACGUUCAGUACCUGAGAAUACAACAAUAUCCAUUAACCAUGGGAAUGAGCAGAACAUGAACUAAAUCACACUCACAAUGGAGACUCAAGGAAAAGUGGACCAGAGAUCUAAGGUGGUACAGAGCCAAAAUUGCCCAGCCAUGGACAACAGAAAGGGCUUUAACCUCAUAACUCUGAACACCACCAGCCUGGCAGAACAGCAGAGACUGUUGGCAUCACCAGGGACUAGCUGGGACCACUAUAAAAGCUUGACUCACCCUCAGCUCGGAGCGACAGAUUCGAACGUUGUCUCCUGUCCCCUUGCCAGCUGACUUGCAGUAAAG
RNAcentral lists this long non-coding RNA (936 nucleotides) under Macaca mulatta (Rhesus monkey). RNAcentral's name for it is "lncRNA (ENSMMUG00000046159.2)". Lineage: Eukaryota; Metazoa; Chordata; Mammalia; Primates; Cercopithecidae. The record is from RNAcentral.